AGUGAACGCUGGCGGUAGGCCUAACACAUGCAAGUCGAACGGCAGCACAGUAAGAGCUUGCUCUUACGGGUUGCGAGUGGCGGACGGGUGAGGAAUACAUCGGAAUCUACUUUUUCGUGGGGGAUAACGUAGGGAAACUUACGCUAAUACCGCAUACGACCUACGGGUGAAAGCAGGGGAUCUUCGGACCUUGCGCGAUUGAAUGAGCCGAUGUCGGAUUAGCUAGUUGGCGGGGUAAAGGCCCACCAAGGCGACGAUCCGUAGCUGGUCUGAGAGGAUGAUAGGCCACACUGGAACUGAGACACGGUCCAGACUCCUACGGGAGGCAGCAGUGGGGAAUAUUGGACAAAGGUGGCAAGCAUGAUCCAGCCAUACCGCGUGGGUGAAGAAGGCCUUCGGGUUGUAAAGCCCUUUUGUUGGGAAAGAAAAGCAGCAGGUUAAUACCACGCUGUUCUGACGGUACCCAAAGAAUAAGCACCGGCUAACUUCGUG
This 492-nucleotide ribosomal RNA is filed under the name uncultured bacterium. Its description in RNAcentral is "partial 16S ribosomal RNA". It matches the Rfam family "Bacterial small subunit ribosomal RNA", at positions 29 to 507 of the family's 1533-position model. The record is from RNAcentral.